This 897-nucleotide long non-coding RNA is filed under the name Phoenix dactylifera (date palm). Its description in RNAcentral is "long non-coding RNA (PDAC_LNC016523)". The record is from RNAcentral. Lineage: Eukaryota; Viridiplantae; Streptophyta; Magnoliopsida; Arecales; Arecaceae.
CUCGUAGCUUUCCUAAGAAGAUUGUGGGGAGGAGCAUAUGUUCCCUGUGGUCUUAGAAGUUUUAUCUGUUUGGGACCGUGCAUGGCACUCAGUUGGAACUAUCAAUUGGCUUGUGAACUUAAUAAUAAUAGGUGUGAUACGAGACUUGGAUUUCCUGAAGGUAAUAAUGAGGUUCGUUUAUGCAAUAAUGCUCAAUUACUCCACAUACUCUCUACCCUCUCUCUCUUCUAGCUGGUCAAGUGCAUCGCGCCUGCACGUUGCACGUUACGAACAUAAUGAUUUGUUGAUCUGGUACAAACAGCAAUCAUUGUUUAAAUUCUUUAAAAUAAUUAGAAUAGGAACAUAACGAUUUGUUAAUUUGGUACUGAUAGAGGGAAAAAUGGAUUAUCCAGUCCACAACUAAAAUGCCGCCCAGUUUCGGCCCAGUAGACGUCAACACCAACUAGUCGAAUCCACACUUCGGCUCCGAGUCAACUCGACUUCGGGACUUUGCCGGAAGCUUUACCAACUUUAGAUAUUCGCCGACUCUUUCGACCAAGCUCGAGAUGUCUUCAGACAUUCGCCGACCCAUCCCGACCAAACUCGGAGUGCUCCACCGAGUAUACCUCGGAACCCGAGAAGCCGAGCUACUCUCAGCACCUCUGUCAAGCCGACCUCGCCAAACGCAUGGUGCGACCUCUCAACGAGUUCGGCCUCGUCAACGACCGCACUCAUGUGCGUGCCUACGUCCAUCUGCGUGGUCAUACUUUGCAACACUAUCGUGUCACGUUUCCAUAUCCGGCCUUCAGCAGUCGGUACCUUGACCACUCUGGUUAUAUCCUGCCGUGACUGUCAACACCCUACCGUUCUCAAGAACAGGCGGUACUACACGCCACCAGCCAGCCUAAGCUGUGCGCC